Molecule: ribosomal RNA, 263 nt
Filed under: uncultured bacterium
Lineage: Bacteria
Description: partial 16S ribosomal RNA
Rfam family: Bacterial small subunit ribosomal RNA
Source: RNAcentral
UACGGGGGGUGCAAGCGUUGUUCGGAAUCAUUGGGCGUAAAGAGCGUGUAGGCGGUUGGACAAGUCAGAUGUGAAAGCCCUGGGCUUAACUCAGGAAGUGCAUUUGAAACUGUUCAGCUGGAGUAAGGGAGAGGAAAGUGGAAUUCCUGGUGUAGAGGUGAAAUUCGUAGAUAUCAGGAGGAACACCGGUGGCGAAGGCGACUUUCUGGCCCUAUACUGACGCUGAGAAGCGAUAGCGUGGGUAGAAAACAUGAUUAGAUCCC